Non-coding RNA from Candida albicans, 76 nucleotides. The record is from Rfam. Lineage: Eukaryota; Fungi; Ascomycota; Pichiomycetes; Serinales; Debaryomycetaceae.
UCCAACUAAUCAUUCUAUAGCUGAUUUAGCAGCAAUCAGUCUAGCCAGCAGAGCCAAUAGAAUCAUUUCAGUUGGA